GCUCGCGCUCGGCGUUUCGGUGCUGGUCGUGCUGUGGCUGGGCUCGGGCGUCGAGCUCAGGCUAGGGCUGACGAUGCUGGCCAAGCGGGAACGCACGUCUGGGAAGUCCUCGUAGUCAUCAAUGUCCAUGACCUUCCAGAGGAACACAGACAUUGUCUCAAUUCAACCACAGUGAAGACUUGUCUGGCUGAGGAUUUCAAAUUCCAUAAUGAUUUGGAGAUACGCUACUAGAAACUUUCAGUGAGGACAAAGAAAAGUUAUCAUAGUGUAAGAAGGAUAGAGUGGAUUAGUAUUUCUCACAGUUGGGGAGAGAAAUACUUGGCUAAUAUCAAAAUAUGCCAUUGGGUGGUAAAUAGACUAUGUCAUUGACACAAAUGUGUCAACCUUCACUUCUCCCCCUAAGCCCACACACUGAAGGGGUGAGUUUAAGUCUGAGAACAGGAUGUCAAAAGUUUCCAGGCAUGGAACAAGCCAUAGAAUGGAUUAAAUAAAUACCCCAAGUGGAAGAAAGCCAUACACUAUUAGACAUUCCUUUUUUUUUUUUUUUUUUUUU
Sapajus apella (tufted capuchin) is the source of this 553-nucleotide long non-coding RNA. RefSeq lists it as uncharacterized. The transcript has 2 exons. The record is from RefSeq and is a predicted model, not a curated record. Lineage: Eukaryota; Metazoa; Chordata; Mammalia; Primates; Cebidae.